ACCAUGCAGUCGACGGUGAAGAGGAGCUUGCUCCUUGGAUCAGUGGCGAACGGGUGAGUAACACGUGAGCAAUCUGCCCUUGACUCUGGGAUAACUGCGGGAAACUGUAGCUAAUACCGGAUAUUACCUUGGAAGGCAUCUUCUGGGGUGGAAAGAAUUUUGGUCAAGGAUGAGCUCGCGGCCUAUCAGCUAGUUGGUGAGGUAAUGGCUCACCAAGGCGACGACGGGUAGCCGGCCUGAGAGGGUGACCGGCCACACUGGGACUGAGACACGGCCCAGACUCCUACGGGAGGCAGCAGUGGGGAAUAUUGCACAAUGGGCGCAAGCCUGAUGCAGCAACGCCGCGUGAGGGACGACGGCCUUCGGGUUGUAAACCUCUUUUAGUAGGGAAGAAGCGACUGGGUUUUCCUGGGAGUGACGGUACCUGCAGAAAAAGCACCGGCUAACUACGUGCCAGCAGCCGCGGUAAUACGUAGGGUGCAAGCGUUGUCCGGAAUUAUUGGGCGUAAAGAGCUCGUAGGCGGUUUGUCGCGUCUGCUGUGAAAACCCGAGGCUCAACCUCGGGCCUGCAGUGGGUACGGGCAGACUAGAGUGCGGUAGGGGAGAUUGGAAUUCCUGGUGUAGCGGUGGAAUGCGCAGAUAUCAGGAGGAACACCAAUGGCGAAGGCAGAUCUCUGGGCCGUAACUGACGCUGAGGAGCGAAAGCAUGGGGAGCGAACAGGAUUAGAUA
This 730-nucleotide ribosomal RNA is filed under the name Cryobacterium sp. Y4_579_3. RNAcentral describes it as "bacterial SSU rRNA". It matches the Rfam family "Bacterial small subunit ribosomal RNA", at positions 53 to 784 of the family's 1533-position model. Lineage: Bacteria; Bacillati; Actinomycetota; Actinomycetes; Micrococcales; Microbacteriaceae. The record is from RNAcentral.